CAGAGCUGGGUCAGCAUCUGGCCUGGCUGCCCUGGGAGUGGGAAGCGCUGGCAUCCCUGGGGAUCCACCUGGGAUGCAGCUCCUCGGCUCAUCCCUGCUGCCGCCUGGUUCCACGGAGAAUUCCUGGGAAUUCAGCCUCUCCAGGUGGGAUUUUCAGCAGCUGCAGUGUUUAGCAGUGGGGAAAAAAAAAAAAUCGGGAAGGUGUGUGGAGGAGGAAGGUGUUAUUUGGGAACAGCACCAGCCAAAAAACCCAAGGGAAAUAAAGCAGCUCCGUGUGUGUGGCACCGAAGGCAGAGGAGGGGGAACCACCCCAGGAGCACCAGGCUGGGAGGUGAGUUCGGAGCAGUCCUGGUGUGCCUUUGCCAGGGCCAAUUUUCCUUCCUUCUCCAUGGGAUGGGCCUGUUCCCAGCUGCAAACGGGGCUCACCUCACAGCGAGCACCCCCCGGGAACUGGGAAGUUCGGGAAGGAAGGAGCAGGGACUGAGCAACAACUUCCCAGGCAGGGCCGGCAUCGGGCCCCCAGGGCUGAGCUGGGUCUGCCCGCCGGCGUUUAUUCCUUUAUUUCCCUGCUGGAAAGCGGCUCCAUCAGCUCCGGCAUCAUCUCUCCAUCCUGAGCGAGCCGUGCUGGGCUGGGAGGGGAGGGAGCAGCUGGAUCCCAGAAUCCCUGUCUGAGCCACCGCAGGGAGCCCGGGCAGCCCCUUCCCGACACCUCCUCCCCGGCCCAGCGCCUCCUCCCUCACCAUGCUGGACAUUUUCAUCCUGAUGUUCUUCGCCAUCAUCGGCCUCGUGAUCCUCUCCUACAUCAUUUACAUGCUCUAGGGAGGCGCCGGGGGGGGGGAGAUGCGGCUCAGCACCAGCCCCGCAGCCCGAGCGCCAUCCAGCCUCUGCCUGGUCCGUGUCCCUCGGAGCCUUCUGGAAGGGCGUUAACCCCUGCGAGCCCAGCGCGGAGCACGGAGGGGCCGGGGAGGGGUGGAAUGGGGAGGGGGCUGCGAGGGGACACCCCCCUGCCGGGACCGGGGCUGUCCCGGGGGUAUGGGAAGGGUCCUGCCCCCCCCCUUGGGAUGAGCCCGUCCGAGGUCGGUCAUCUGGGUUUCAUUUUAGGAGAGCACUUCUAUUUUUAAUGAAAAAAAAAAGUAGGAUGAGACGGAAUAAAGAGGAAUGACACGGGA
Long non-coding RNA from Neopelma chrysocephalum (saffron-crested tyrant-manakin), 1169 nucleotides. RefSeq lists it as uncharacterized. The transcript has 2 exons. NCBI's taxonomy places the organism in Eukaryota, Metazoa, Chordata, Aves, Passeriformes, Pipridae. The record is from RefSeq and is a predicted model, not a curated record.